UACGGAGGUCUCAAGCGUUGUUCGGAUUCAUUGGGCGUAAAGGGUGCGUAGGCGGCGCGGUAAGUCGGGUGUGAAAUCUCGGAGCUUAACUCCGAAACUGCAUUCGAUACUGCCGUGCUUGAGGACUGGAGGGGAGACUGGAAUUUACGGUGUAGCGGUGAAAUGCGUAGAGAUCAUGAGGAAGACCAGUGGCGAAGGCGGGUCUCUGGACAGUUCCUGACACUGAGGCACGAAGGCCAGGGGAGCAAACGGG
Molecule: ribosomal RNA, 253 nt
Filed under: uncultured bacterium
Lineage: Bacteria
Description: partial 16S ribosomal RNA
Rfam family: Bacterial small subunit ribosomal RNA
Source: RNAcentral